UCGUAGCAGAAUAAAGGAGAGUAAAGAUUCGAGCAGAGCUGUAGUCAUAGCAAUAAUGAUGCAAUGAAAUUCCACCCCUAUUCUAUAUGGGGACGCCAAGAGUUUCAAUUGGUGGGUACGUUUAUGAGAAAUUCAUUAGUUGAUGAUAAUAUCCUCUUUAUCUAACGGGAGGACAUCUAAGAGUCGGAAAGGUUUUGAAAUAGUUUCAUCUUCACGUGGGAAAGCGCGAUUCUCUACAUUUAUCUAAUUCGCAUAUUGGUUUGGGUGGCUGUAGCACCACCCAGUUGGCAGGAGAUUCGACAGACUCUAUACACUUUCAGUGAUUAGCCAUUAAACAGGAAGCCAUUGUUCCACCACCGAACAGUAUGCGAACCUAUGUCAUACAUCUAGAGGGUACCCAUCAUAGACCAGUCUUGGAACAUGUUCCUUAUCUUGACCCAGAUGAUAGAUUUCU
Molecule: long non-coding RNA, 454 nt
Filed under: Spirodela polyrhiza (greater duckweed)
Lineage: Eukaryota; Viridiplantae; Streptophyta; Magnoliopsida; Alismatales; Araceae
Description: long non-coding RNA (SPOL_LNC002061)
Source: RNAcentral